RNAcentral lists this transfer RNA (76 nucleotides) under bacterium. RNAcentral's name for it is "tRNA-His". It matches the Rfam family "tRNA". From Rfam's summary of the family: Transfer RNA (tRNA) molecules are approximately 80 nucleotides in length. Their secondary structure includes four short double-helical elements and three loops (D, anti-codon, and T loops). The record is from RNAcentral.
GCGGCCGUAGCUCAAUGGCGGAGCCCUCGGAUGUGGCCCGAGAGGUUGCAGGGUUCGAGUCCCGCCGGCCGCCCCA